This is a non-coding RNA of Manis javanica (Malayan pangolin), 792 nucleotides long. The record is from RefSeq and is a predicted model, not a curated record. Lineage: Eukaryota; Metazoa; Chordata; Mammalia; Pholidota; Manidae.
AUUUGUUCUACCAUCUCAAACUGCAUGUACAUCUCAAGACACUUGGCAGAUAAAUUAUUUGGUUUGUGGGCGGCCAGAAAAAAUUGAUAAUGUUUUUUUAACACGGACUGGAGUGACAGUUUGGUAACUGGCUCUCUGAGAGAGCUUUCAUGUGUUCCAAAAAUUGGCAGCUAGCUCUAGAGUGAGCUAAUUAGUUAGGAACGAUUUUCAUCCUCAGUACCUUUAAUAGCCUACCCUUGGAGACAAGACAGAUAAUGAGCACUUGGAAAUCAGUAGUGCUGCAACUUGACCUUAAUGUAGUUUGGGGGAAAUAAGAAGGGUGAGUCAUGAUCUGUUAUUGAAGAUCAUCCUUUUAAAAGGCUUUGUGAAGGAUUUGACAAAUAAUGAUUGCUCCUGUAUAGGAACUAUCAUAAUCAAAGAAGCAGAAAACAGGAAAGAAAACUUAAUGUGACUAAGCAGUGUUUAAUUUGUUUGAAACUGGCUCUACCACCCUGCUUUAUGCAGUCUUCACAGGGCAAGAAAUCCGGCUUGCACCAGGGUGUAAUGGAGCGACACCCAUGCCUGAUACCACGGAAAUGGAGUCCACCAAUGCUUCUCUUUAUGUGCUUUCUCAAGGGGGCUCUCGCUGGCAGACUGUCCAAGGAGAAUUAGGAGAAUUCCACAGAAAUGCCCAUGUACCAGGAAGAGGCGAACAGCCAGAGGUGGUUGCAGGAUAGCUAAACAGAUAUACAACCAUGAGAGGUGCCAGCUCCCCUACCUAAGGCACCCAUGAUUUCCACCAAGGAUUCUCUU